Nicrophorus vespilloides is the source of this 159-nucleotide long non-coding RNA. RefSeq lists it as uncharacterized. The transcript is spliced from 2 exons. The record is from RefSeq and is a predicted model, not a curated record. Lineage: Eukaryota; Metazoa; Arthropoda; Insecta; Coleoptera; Silphidae.
ACGAUGGAGUUUUCAUGGAUUAUCAAGACACGAGACCGGAAAUCGAAGCUGUAUUUCCGGACGGUCGCAUCGCCCAUCUGAGGACCACAGCGGAUCGCCUAAGGUUCCUCAAAUUCCUGAAAAACGGAGCAUCCAAAAUGCAGAACUAAAAUGACGACG